GUUAGGAAUAUUGGACAAUGGGCGCAAGCCUGAACCAGCCAUGCCGCGUGAGUGAUGAAGGCCUUCGGGUUGUAAAGCUCUUUAGCCGAUGAUUAUAAUGACUGUAGUCGGAAAAUAAGCCCCGGCUAACUUCGUGCCAGCAGCCGCGGUAAUACGAAGGGGGCGAGCGUUAUUCGGAAUCACUGGGCGUAAAGCGUGCGUAGGCGGUUUUGUAAGUUAGGAGUGAAAGCCCAGGGCUCAACCCUGGAAUUGCUCUUAAAACUACAAGGCUAGAAGGUCGGAGAGGAUAGCGGAAUUUCCAGUGUAGCAGUGAAAUGCGUAGAUAUUGGAAGGAACACCAGUGGCGUAAGCGGCUAUCUGGACGACUAUUGACGCUGAGGCACGAAAGCGUGGGGAUCAAACAGGAUUAGAAACCCUGGUAGUCC
This 425-nucleotide ribosomal RNA is filed under the name uncultured bacterium. RNAcentral describes it as "partial 16S ribosomal RNA". It matches the Rfam family "Bacterial small subunit ribosomal RNA", at positions 354 to 796 of the family's 1533-position model. The record is from RNAcentral.